UAGGGAAUCUUCGGCAAUGGACGAAAGUCUGACCGAGCAACGCCGCGUGAGUGAAGAAGGUGUUCGGAUCGUAAAACUCUGUUGUUAGAGAAGAACAAGGACGUUAGUAACUGAACGUCCCCUGACGGUAUCUAACCAGAAAGCCACGGCUAACUACGUGCCAGCAGCCGCGGUAAUACGUAGGUGGCAAGCGUUGUCCGGAUUUAUUGGGCGUAAAGCGAGCGCAGGCGGUUUCUUAAGUCUGAUGUGAAAGCCCCCGGCUCAACCGGGGAGGUUCAUUUGCAACUGGGAGACUUGCGUGCAGAAGAGGAGAGUGGAAUUCCAUGUUUAGCGGUGACAUGCGUAGAUAUAUGGAGGAACACCAGUGGCGAAGGCGGCUCUCUGGUCUGUAACUGACGCUGAGGCUCGAAAGCGUGGGGAGCAAACAGG
RNAcentral lists this ribosomal RNA (429 nucleotides) under Gemmatimonadota bacterium. Its description in RNAcentral is "Gemmatimonadetes bacterium partial 16S ribosomal RNA". It matches the Rfam family "Bacterial small subunit ribosomal RNA", at positions 355 to 776 of the family's 1533-position model. Lineage: Bacteria; Pseudomonadati; Gemmatimonadota. The record is from RNAcentral.